RNAcentral lists this long non-coding RNA (722 nucleotides) under Monodelphis domestica (gray short-tailed opossum). RNAcentral's name for it is "lncRNA (ENSMODG00000043446.1)". The record is from RNAcentral. Lineage: Eukaryota; Metazoa; Chordata; Mammalia; Didelphimorphia; Didelphidae.
AUAAAGGAUGAAAAGGUUUGCAAUUUGCAAAACUUGCAAAAACUGAGAAAUGCAAAUCUUAAGGAAUGAUUGACAGUAGCAUGUGACCAAGGGUCACAUGAGAGCCUGAGCCUUGGGAUCUGGCAAGAUUCUAUGCCCAACAGCUUCUUCUCAGAGUCUGCUCUCCUGGAAGGACCUUGAAGAGGAUUUUGCCUGUGAUCAAUGGAGGAAGGAGUUUUUCUGGAUCUGGCUAAUGGCAGCAUCAGUCUGGACUUACUUGGACAUCUAACAACAUAAGAUCCUGGCCCUAUUAGAUUUGGAUUCCUGGAGAAUACGGAGCCAAAACCUCCAUAAGUUAUUCACCCUUCUUGGAUCUGUCCUCUCUAAGUCUCACCAUUGCAUGGCACCUCUACCUCUCCAGUCAUCUCUUAUGUCUUCAGCUGCAUCUCCUGCAGAGAUCAGACUGAGGUCAGACUAACAAUUCUUCAACCCAAUGUAAAGGAGAAGAGAGAACAGACCUGGAAUUGCUCCGUCAGCAUCAAGCACCCCAACUUCAACUUUAAAAAAUUAGACAACAACAUCAUACUAAUUGAGCUAAAUAAGCCUGCCAAUCUCAGUAAACAGCAGUGACCCUGAUAUUCUAAGCUGGUGAACCAUGCAUGACAUUCUCUCUGAUGAAGAAUACGCUAAGAUACUUCUGGGGGAAAAAAAAUGUCAGGAAAUAAAAUGCAUGUGGGACUCCA